This 345-nucleotide transfer-messenger RNA is filed under the name bovine gut metagenome. It matches the Rfam family "transfer-messenger RNA". From Rfam's summary of the family: Bacterial tmRNA, also known as 10Sa RNA or SsrA, is named for its dual tRNA and mRNA-like properties. Its role is to liberate the mRNA from a stalled ribosome. To accomplish this part of the tmRNA is used as a reading frame that ends in a translation stop signal. The record is from RNAcentral.
GGGGAUGAUACGGUUUCGACGGGGGUUUUGAAGGCAGGAUAAGCGAGCUGUGGACCAGGACCACAAUAAAACUUGGAAUAAAAAUUAACUGACAAUUCUUACGAAUUGGCCGCUGCCUAAUUAGGCGGCGCGUCGGCCCGGGUUGCCCACUCGCCCGGAUACCGGCGUCAUGAGAGCGGGGAACGAGCAUACCUAAGCUUUGCCGUAUGUCCGUAACAUGAAGCUACUGAAGCUGCCAGUCUGUCUGUGGACGGACAGCGGAGGGAAUGUCAAAACACAGACUGCGCUCGGAGAAGGUCCUGCAGGCAUGCUUUCGGACAGGAGUUCGACUCUCCUCAUCUCCAU